GAUGAACGCUGGCGGCGUGCUUAACACAUGCAAGUCGAGCGAAGCACUUUCUCGGAAGUUUUCGGAUGGAAGAGGGAUUGACUGAGCGGCGGACGGGUGAGUAACGCGUGGGGAACCUGCCUCAUACAGGGGAAUAACAGUUAGAAAUGACUGCUAAUGCCGCAUAAGCGCACACUGUGGCAUCACAGGGUGUGAAAAACUCCGGUGGUAUGAGAUGGCCCCGCGUCUGAUUAGGCAGUUGGCGGGGUAACGGCCCACCAAACCGACGAUCAGUAGCCGACCUGAGAGGGUGACCGGCCACAUUGGGACUGAGACACGGCCCAA
Molecule: ribosomal RNA, 324 nt
Filed under: uncultured bacterium
Lineage: Bacteria
Description: bacterial SSU rRNA
Rfam family: Bacterial small subunit ribosomal RNA
Source: RNAcentral